This 219-nucleotide ribosomal RNA is filed under the name uncultured bacterium. RNAcentral's name for it is "partial 16S ribosomal RNA". It matches the Rfam family "Bacterial small subunit ribosomal RNA", at positions 524 to 741 of the family's 1533-position model. The record is from RNAcentral.
UACGUAGGGGGCAAGCGUUGUCCGGAAUUAUUGGGCGUAAAGGGCGCGUAGGCGGAUAGUUAAGUCCGGUGUGAAAGAUCAGGGCUCAACCCUGAGAGUGCAUCGGAAACUGGUUAUCUUGAGGACAGGAGAGGAAAGUGGAAUUCCACGUGUAGCGGUGAAAUGCGUAGAUAUGUGGAGGAACACCAGUGGCGAAGGCGACUUUCUGGACUGGUAACU